CAGCCAAAGACUGUAUAUAUAAGGCAGCCCCGGUGUUGAUGUUUAACUGUUUACGAAACUGCGUGUUACCUGCAGCGCAGGUCAUCUCAUCCUCCGAGACAAACAGGAAGCGAACAUGGUCUGACUGCUAAUAAAAGCUAGCAUAUACGUGGUGAGGAAGAUCCGGGCUUCCGUUGCUGAGGGAGAGCAACUAGAGAAGCCCAUUAUAACACCAUGUAGUGCUAUUGCUGCAAGGAGAGCAGGCCAUGAAUUGAGAGAGAACACCUCAGCGGCCGCUCUGAUGUCAGGACCUGAUGAAGGUGUCAGCGGAGCAGCAGGCACGGGGACGUCCUCACAGACAGCUGUGCAGAAAUGCGGCUCCUGACGUUAAAGAUCAUGCUGGACACUGAGACUGUGGUCAACACACUGGAAAUACUUUUGCAAUGCAAAGCAAUAGUACACUCUUAUGGAUGAUCUCUUGUAUUUGCAUAAAUCACACACACACACGUAAUGUUCAACUUUAUUUUUUCCCAUACAGAAGUGACCAAACACGCUCUUUUGAACUGCAGUUAUUCCAGUGAUUAUCUCGAUCAAGUGUCUGCUGCACUCAGCGUCCCGCUCUUGUCGAUGAUGCACAUUUAGGCCUUUUUCACAGCAGAUAUUUUGACUUAUCACAUCAGUAAAAUACACAACUAUUAACCUUAACAACCAUUCUCCUCCAUUUUAGAUGUGCUAACAUUAUAGAGUCCUGCAAACUGUACGCUUGAAUGCAGAUAUUUAUGUUUUUAAAUUUAUUUGGUUGGUCAACAUAGUCUCAGUGAAAAAGGUCUAUUUUUAUAUACUGCAGUGUUUGAAGGCUGACUCACCAACCUCUCUCCUGGGGCUGAGCAGGCCUGAUGUUUCUGCUGGUGUAUCAAUAAAUGGAAAAAAAAAAA
Toxotes jaculatrix (banded archerfish) is the source of this 914-nucleotide long non-coding RNA. RefSeq lists it as uncharacterized. NCBI's taxonomy places the organism in Eukaryota, Metazoa, Chordata, Actinopteri, Toxotidae. The record is from RefSeq and is a predicted model, not a curated record. The transcript is spliced from 3 exons.